Molecule: small RNA, 148 nt
Filed under: Pongo abelii (Sumatran orangutan)
Lineage: Eukaryota; Metazoa; Chordata; Mammalia; Primates; Hominidae
Description: Metazoan signal recognition particle RNA (ENSPPYG00000035922.1)
Source: Rfam by way of RNAcentral
GCCGGGCGUGGUGGUGCACACCUGUAGUCCGAGCUACUCAGGAGGCUGAGGCAGAAGAAUCACUUGGACCCAGGAGGUGGAGGUUGCAGUGAGCUGAGAUCACGCCACUGUACUCCAGCCUGGGUGACAAAGUAAGACUCUGUCUCAA